GGGGAUUUAGCUUAGUGGUAGAGUGCUUGCCUAGGAAGCGCAAGGCCCUGGGUUCGGUUCCCAGCUCCA
This 69-nucleotide transfer RNA is filed under the name Rattus norvegicus (Norway rat). It matches the Rfam family "tRNA". Rfam says of the family: Transfer RNA (tRNA) molecules are approximately 80 nucleotides in length. Their secondary structure includes four short double-helical elements and three loops (D, anti-codon, and T loops). Further hydrogen bonds mediate the characteristic L-shaped molecular structure. tRNAs have two regions of fundamental functional importance: the anti-codon, which is responsible for specific mRNA codon recognition, and the 3' end, to which the tRNAs corresponding amino acid is attached (by aminoacyl-tRNA synthetases). tRNAs cope with the degeneracy of the genetic code in two manners: having more than one tRNA (with a specific anti-codon) for a particular amino acid; and 'wobble' base-pairing, i.e. permitting non-standard base-pairing at the 3rd anti-codon position. Lineage: Eukaryota; Metazoa; Chordata; Mammalia; Rodentia; Muridae. The record is from Rfam by way of RNAcentral.